RNAcentral lists this ribosomal RNA (2884 nucleotides) under Salmonella enterica subsp. enterica serovar Enteritidis. RNAcentral's name for it is "23S ribosomal RNA". It matches the Rfam family "Bacterial large subunit ribosomal RNA". Lineage: Bacteria; Pseudomonadati; Pseudomonadota; Gammaproteobacteria; Enterobacterales; Enterobacteriaceae. The record is from RNAcentral.
GGGUUGUGAGGUUAAGCGACUAAGCGUACACGGUGGAUGCCCUGGCAGUCAGAGGCGAUGAAGGGCGUGCUAAUCUGCGAUAAGCGCCGGUAAGGUGAUAUGAACCGUUAUAACCGGCGAUACCCGAAUGGGGAAACCCAGUGUGAUUCGUCACACUAUCAUUAACUGAAUCCAUAGGUUAAUGAGGCGAACCGGGGGAACUGAAACAUCUAAGUACCCCGAGGAAAAGAAAUCAACCGAGAUUCCCCCAGUAGCGGCGAGCGAACGGGGAGGAGCCCAGAGCCUGAAUCAGCAUGUGUGUUAGUGGAAGCGUCUGGAAAGGCGCGCGAUACAGGGUGACAGCCCCGUACACAAAAGCGCAUGUGCUGUGAGCUCGAUGAGUAGGGCGGGACACGUGGUAUCCUGUCUGAAUAUGGGGGGACCAUCCUCCAAGGCUAAAUACUCCUGACUGACCGAUAGUGAACCAGUACCGUGAGGGAAAGGCGAAAAGAACCCCGGCGAGGGGAGUGAAAAAGAACCUGAAACCGUGUACGUACAAGCAGUGGGAGCNNNNNNNNNNNNNNNNNNNNNNNNNNNNNNNNNNNNNNNNNNNNNNNNNNNNNNNNNNNNNNNNGGGCGUUAAGUUGCAGGGUAUAGACCCGAAACCCGGUGAUCUAGCCAUGGGCAGGUUGAAGGUUGGGUAACACUAACUGGAGGACCGAACCGACUAAUGUUGAAAAAUUAGCGGAUGACCUGUGGCUGGGGGUGAAAGGCCAAUCAAACCGGGAGAUAGCUGGUUCUCCCCGAAAGCUAUUUAGGUAGCGCCUCGUGAAUUCAUCUCCGGGGGUAGAGCACUGUUUCGGCUAGGGGGCCAUCCCGGCUUACCAACCCGAUGCAAACUGCGAAUACCGGAGAAUGUUAUCACGGGAGACACACGGCGGGUGCUAACGUCCGUCGUGAAGAGGGAAACAACCCAGACCGCCAGCUAAGGUCCCAAAGUCAUGGUUAAGUGGGAAACGAUGUGGGAAGGCCCAGACAGCCAGGAUGUUGGCUUAGAAGCAGCCAUCAUUUAAAGAAAGCGUAAUAGCUCACUGGUCGAGUCGGCCUGCGCGGAAGAUGUAACGGGGCUAAACCAUGCACCGAAGCUGCGGCAGCGACACUGUGUGUUGUUGGGUAGGGGAGCGUUCUGUAAGCCUGCGAAGGUGGCCUGUGAGGGUUGCUGGAGGUAUCAGAAGUGCGAAUGCUGACAUAAGUAACGAUAAAGCGGGUGAAAAGCCCGCUCGCCGGAAGACCAAGGGUUCCUGUCCAACGUUAAUCGGGGCAGGGUGAGUCGACCCCUAAGGCGAGGCCGAAAGGCGUAGUCGAUGGGAAACGGGUUAAUAUUCCCGUACUUGGUGUUACUGCGAAGGGGGGACGGAGAAGGCUAUGUUGGCCGGGCGACGGUUGUCCCGGUUUAAGCGUGUAGGUGUGUGUUCCAGGUAAAUCCGGUUCACUUUAACACUGAGGCGUGACGACGAGGCACUACGGUGCUGAAGCAACAAAUGCCCUGCUUCCAGGAAAAGCCUCUAAGCAUCAGGUAACAUCAAAUCGUACCCCAAACCGACACAGGUGGUCAGGUAGAGAAUACCAAGGCGCUUGAGAGAACUCGGGUGAAGGAACUAGGCAAAAUGGUGCCGUAACUUCGGGAGAAGGCACGCUGACACGUAGGUGAAGUGAUUUACUCAUGGAGCUGAAGUCAGUCGAAGAUACCAGCUGGCUGCAACUGUUUAUUAAAAACACAGCACUGUGCAAACACGAAAGUGGACGUAUACGGUGUGACGCCUGCCCGGUGCCGGAAGGUUAAUUGAUGGGGUCAGCGCAAGCGAAGCUCCUGAUCGAAGCCCCGGUAAACGGCGGCCGUAACUAUAACGGUCCUAAGGUAGCGAAAUUCCUUGUCGGGUAAGUUCCGACCUGCACGAAUGGCGUAAUGAUGGCCAGGCUGUCUCCACCCGAGACUCAGUGAAAUUGAACUCGCUGUGAAGAUGCAGUGUACCCGCGGCAAGACGGAAAGACCCCGUGAACCUUUACUAUAGCUUGACACUGAACAUUGAGCCUUGAUGUGUAGGAUAGGUGGGAGGCUUUGAAGUGUGGACGCCAGUCUGCAUGGAGCCGACCUUGAAAUACCACCCUUUAAUGUUUGAUGUUCUAACGUGGACCCGUUACCCGGGUUGCGGACAGUGUCUGGUGGGUAGUUUGACUGGGGCGGUCUCCUCCUAAAGAGUAACGGAGGAGCACGAAGGUUGGCUAAUCCUGGUCGGACAUCAGGAGGUUAGUGCAAUGGCAUAAGCCAGCUUGACUGCGAGCGUGACGGCGCGAGCAGGUGCGAAAGCAGGUCAUAGUGAUCCGGUGGUUCUGAAUGGAAGGGCCAUCGCUCAACGGAUAAAAGGUACUCCGGGGAUAACAGGCUGAUACCGCCCAAGAGUUCAUAUCGACGGCGGUGUUUGGCACCUCGAUGUCGGCUCAUCACAUCCUGGGGCUGAAGUAGGUCCCAAGGGUAUGGCUGUUCGCCAUUUAAAGUGGUACGCGAGCUGGGUUUAGAACGUCGUGAGACAGUUCGGUCCCUAUCUGCCGUGGGCGCUGGAGAACUGAGGGGGGCUGCUCCUAGUACGAGAGGACCGGAGUGGACGCAUCACUGGUGUUCGGGUUGUCAUGCCAAUGGCACUGCCCGGUAGCUAAAUGCGGAAGAGAUAAGUGCUGAAAGCAUCUAAGCACGAAACUUGCCCCGAGAUGAGUUCUCCCUGAGACUUAGAGUCUCCUGAAGGAACGUUGAAGACGACGACGUUGAUAGGCCGGGUGUGUAAGCGCAGCGAUGCGUUGAGCUAACCGGUACUAAUGAACCGUGAGGCUUAACCUUACAACGCCGAAG